RNAcentral lists this long non-coding RNA (2643 nucleotides) under Vitis vinifera (wine grape). RNAcentral describes it as "long non-coding RNA (VVIN_LNC000391)". The record is from RNAcentral. Lineage: Eukaryota; Viridiplantae; Streptophyta; Magnoliopsida; Vitales; Vitaceae.
UCCAAUAAAAACACAUCAACUCUGUUGAAUUUUGACUUAGUAUUUGCUGGAAUUUGAAUUUUGAAUAUUGCAGCUGGAGUCUUGCACAAAAUCUGCAACAUCUAGAUAUUUUCUUAUUUUUAUUUGGUCAAGAUUUGGUUUCUAUUUUAUAGGAAGUAGUUGUUCAUCAUCUAGUAGCUUGAUUUUCUGCUAUUCUAAUGUCAUUUAAGUUACAAGUUCAUGUAUAAAUUCAGCAUUCUUCAUCAAUAAAAUUAGAGCUCCGGUAGCCCAAAAAUAUAUAUUUUGUAUAAGUGUUAAAUCCAAAUACCAACAAAGUGGUAUCAGAGCCUUUCUUAUCUUGAGGGGCCAGUGAGGUGAGUGAACCCAAACACCUUCUAAAAUCAUUUAGCAAUGGAAGAGUCAAGUCUCACAGUUGCACCAUCAAUUCUUGAUGGAGACAAUUAUGAAACUUGGGCUGUUAGAAUGACAGUUCAUCUACAAGCACUUGAUGUUUGGGAAGCAGUGGAAGAAAAUUAUGAAGUUCCUCCCCUGGGAGCCAAUCCAACUGUGGCUCAAAUGAAGUUGCAUAAAGAAAGAAGGACAAGAAAGGCUAAAGCGAAAGCUUGCUUGUUUGCUGCAGUUUCACCAUCAAUUUUCAUCAAAAUCAUGAAAAUUGAUUCAGCUGCAGAAAUUUGGGAGUAUCUCAAGGAGGAAUACAAAGGAGAUGAAAUAAUAAAAAACAUGCAGGUGAUGAACUUGAUUCGAGAAUUUGAAAUGAAGAAAAUGAGGGAGUCUGAUGCUGUUAAAGACUAUGCUGCACAACUUCUUUCAAUAGCAGACAAAGUUAGGCUGCUUGGAAAAGAAUUUUCCAAUGAGAAGAUUGUUCAAAAGAUAUUGGUUACACUUCCUGAGAAAUAUGAAGCUACAAUUUCCUCUUUGGAGAAUUCAAAAGAUCUGUCAACUAUUAGCUUGACAGAAUUAUUACAUUCCUUGGAGGCUGUGGAACAAAGAAGACUCAUGAGACAAGGAGAUACUGCAGAAGGAGCAUUUCAAGCAAGAAUGCAGAAAAAUGCAGGCCAUAAAAAUGGAAAGGUGAACAACAACAAGUCGUGUGGCAACAACCAGAAAAAUGGAGUUUUUCCACCUUGUCCUCAUUGCAAGAAGACAAAUCAUUCUCCACAAAAAUGUUGGUGGAGACCAGAUGUGAAAUGCAACAAGUGUGGUAAACAAGGACAUGUGGAGAGGAUUUGCAAAAAUCAACAGCAAGAAGAAACUAGUGCAGCAGUUGACUAUUGCCAGGAGGAGCAAUUGUUUGAAGCAACGUGUUUUGCUAAUAAAAGCACCUCUAAAAGCUGGCUUGUGGAUAGUGGUUGUACAAACCACAUGACAAAUAAUCAAGAUCUCUUUAGAGAACUUGAUAGAACAACUAUUUCCAAAGUCAGAAUUGGAAAUGGUGAGUAUAUUCCAGUGAAGGGCAAAGGAACGGUUGCUAUCGAAAGCCAAACAGGUUUGAAACUCAUUUAUGAUGUUUUGUUUGUGCCUGACAUUGACCAAAACUUACUCAGUGUUGGACAGCUCGUUGAGAAAGAAUUUAAAGUUUAUUUUGAAGAUAGGAAUUGCAUUAUCAAGGAUGCUGAAGGCAAAGAGGUGUUCAACAUAAAAAUGAAGGGCAAGAGUUUUGCCUUGAAUUUACUGGAAGAUGAGCAUACUGCUAUUUUACAACAAGAUAGCACAACAAUGUUUUGGGACAGAAGGGUCGAGCACUUUCAUCAUGAUGAUGUGCUCUACAUGAAGAAAAAUCAAAUAGUUGAAGGACUUCCUGACUUAGAAAAAGAUCUUCCUAUAUGUGCUACUUGUCAAUAUGGGAAGCAAACUAAACUUCCCUUUCCAAAGAAAAUAUCCUGGAGAGCAACCCAAAAAUUGCAACUGGUGCAUACUGAUGUUGGUGGAUCUCAAAAAAUGCCAUCCUUGAAAUGGAAUGCAAACAAUGUUUGGUGGAUCUCAAAAAAUGCCAUCCUUGAAAUGGAAUGCAAACAAUUUUGGGCUAAAACUGCAAGUAGAGCAGUAUAUUUUCUGAACAUAUUACCAACAAAAGUGUUAAAGAAGCAGACCCCUUUCGAAGUUUGGUUUGAGUGUCUUUGCAUCUACGAAGUCAAGGAGGAGUGUUGAAUUUUGACUUAGUAUUUGCUGGAAUUUGAAUUUUGAAUAUUGCAGCUGGAGUCUUGCACAAAAUCUGCAACAUCUAGAUAUUUUCUUAUUUUUAUUUGGUCAAGAUUUGGUUUCUAUUUUAUAGGAAGUAGUUGUUCAUCAUCUAGUAGCUUGAUUUUCUGCUAUUCUAAUGUCAUUUAAGUUACAAGUUCAUGUAUAAAUUCAGCAUUCUUCAUCAAUAAAAUUAGAGCUCCGGUAGCCCAAAAAUAUAUAUUUUGUAUAAGUGUUAAAUCCAAAUACCAACAAACUCCAAUUCCUACAAAGGUUUAAAUUUUUAAAAACUGGAGUAUUUAUGCUAUUCCUCAGCAGACAACUUAAAAACACUAAUGCAAUGAAAUUUUACAGGCAAGUCAGGCAAUCAAUGUUCUGAUUUGCAGACAAGUAUCUAAUUAAUCAAUACAAGGUAGAUAAUGAUGUUAUGAGUCAAAAUUAAAUCGUGAAAAUGUAAUUGUAUUU